This 10891-nucleotide long non-coding RNA is filed under the name Triticum aestivum (bread wheat). RNAcentral describes it as "long non-coding RNA (TAES_LNC011219)". The record is from RNAcentral. Lineage: Eukaryota; Viridiplantae; Streptophyta; Magnoliopsida; Poales; Poaceae.
CCGCGCCAUGGCCUCGCCUGCUACGCCGAGGGACCGUGUCGUGUUGCUUAAUUCCAUGUCUUUUGGCUAGCUGGAUCUUGUAUGUAGUGCGGCGUUGCAAGCUGGUGGUAGUCUGUACUCUAGUUUAGUGGCCCUUUCAUCAGAUCUCGAUGAGCAAGGCCGGCAUGGCACUGUGUCAGCGAUUCACUAUGCGGGAAUGGCUAAGGAAAGAUGCAAUCCUUUCAAUCUUAAUUGUCUUGUGAACCAAUGGCUGAAAUCAAUCUUGUGGAUCUUUGUUGCCUGUCUUUGCCUCGGUAAUAUUUGUUGUGGAUCUGAAAAUUGCCACAUGUGUUUUUGGCCUACUGAAGCAUGGUCCUCAGCUUCAGCCAGCCAUGAUAAACUUCUUAUCCUAGAUGUCAUCUUUCAGUUCGCAGUUAUUUAUCACCCUAUUAACAGGGCCACCGUGUUGAGGCCGAUUGUGUUUUACUUCCAAGGAGCAGGGAACUGGAUGAAUCAACAGUAACAUUCCAUCUUAUACGUGGUAACCAAACUCAGUAAAUUUCAUGUAGAUAUUUGACCUUGGGAUGCAUGAGCUUCUGGAGUGAAGGAGAAGUCAGCACGUUGGCAGGAACCUCGGCCAAGCCUUCAAUCCACAAGUUGGUACUUCAGAUUCGCAAACAGUAUAUACGUGCCCAGCGAAAGAUUGAUCUGACAUUUCUCAGUAAACAAACAAAUUCCUAGAGCAUUCUUAGUUUCUUGGUUAAAACGUGUAUAUUCAGCAAACUCGUUCCCACCACAACAGCAACAAGCCAUCCAAACUACAACACAGCUUCAAGAUGGCCAUUACAACAGACUCAAAUGCCCGGACUGCUACUAGCUCCAAACAAGCUACUGGAGUACUUACUACUUACCCAUAUAUAACACGACUGCUUCACUUGCUAAUACUAUAUAUACUUACUAAAUCAUAACUCUCCAUACAUACAUGCAUACUACACCGACUUGAGCCCCAACACCGUAGAGACCCCCUAUACAUUUGACAACCUCCAAAACGUACUGCAACAACAUACUAAGAGACAGCAGCACACGCCUACUCGGCAUGGUUCGAAUCACCCCCCUCGGAGAGCAUCCAGCGCAUGUACUCCGCCCCGUCGUCCAGCGAUGAGACCUCGCUGGGGAUGGUUACCCUCUUGCGAGUCAGCGUCUCUACCGUCACGGCCGCCCUCUUCCGCCCACCUCCUCGGCGCGAGCGCAGCUGCUCAUCCAUCUCCUCAUAGUCGCCCUGCGUCAAGUUAGGUAGGGCGUCAUUCACUUUGAUUUGGGCAGCAAGAGAAUUUGUAGACCAUACUACCGAGACUUUAGGCAUCGGCCGAAGGACUUAUGGAAUUUGUCCAUCAUACUGAUCAGCUAGCAAGACUCACCUCUACAUAUACAUGACAACUCGACUUCUCGUGAUUGUCCCUGACAUGCUUGUAGGGGAAUGUCUUGCCACACCCCGCGACCCGACACUCAAAAGGCCUGACUUGGUCGUGGCACGCCUUCAUAUGCAUGGUUAGAUUUGAUUUCUGCAAUGGAAAGGGGACACAUGAGUAAAGACAAAAGUGUGUGUACAUAAAACCACACUUGAAAGAAGAGUAAGGUAUCAGAAAGUGUAUCUAAGGUCUUACGUUGGAAAAGGAGCAUUCACAGCCAUCAAAACUGCAUUCCAGCCUUUCAGUAGAGUGCACUUUGUCAUGAACUCGUAGAUGCCUUUUAAUGUUCUUCCUCAGGUGUUUCUCCCCACAAAUAUCACAGUGAGUAUAUAGAUGGCAAGACUGGUUAUGAGCCUUCAGGCACUUGGCAUUUGUGAAUGUCUUCAAGCAGCCAGGCUCACAACAGACUACUUCCACAUAGUCCAAUUUGGCUGCCAGAAAAUAGCAAAACAUGCAUCAGGUCAAGACAUCCCUUAAAACACGUCAUGAAUAACAAGGAAUGAACUCCAGUAAAAAAUAAUAAAGAACGUGCUUCGGUACACAAUCUGAUUUAACAAGCUUUCUACUGAUGGAUUCUUAUCACUGAGGUCAUACCAUGUGACUCCUCGUGUUUCUUCAGCUGUGAAGGAUACUUGAAAGCCUUUUUACAGCCCUCCUCCUGGCAAAUAACCUGUUGGUUGCUUUUAGUGUCAUCAAUUUUGCAUUCGUGUUCUUCCUCAUGCAUUUCCUUAACAUGUCUUUGAAUAUUCGCCUUGAUGCUGAACCUCUUGCCACAACCUUCUAGAGGGCAUGUAAACAACUUGCCCUCAUGUGUAAGCAUAUGCCGGUUCAAGUGAUCUUUUCUUAUAUAGCUGAAGGGGCAGUCUUCAAGUGGGCAGGCGAAGGAUCUCUGCAGUCAAGCAAGAAAAAUAAGUCCAAAUUCAAACAGUUGCAGUACUUAUGGUUUGCUAAAUAUUACAUGUCACCCAAACAGAAAAAUACUGAUGCAAAUCUUCCCUAUCUCAAACCCUUAAACCCAUAUCAUCCAAAUAAUGAGGGAGCAAUAUAUUCUGAAAAUCGGAUUCUCAUGAAACGACUACAAGAUAAAACCCUUCAACUCAAAUUUAUGCUCAAAAUUUCAAGAUAAUAGAUAGGAACCUACAUAGUCAUUUCAAUCAAACAUUUAUAGUAAUAAAAGGAAAAUAGGUUAAAGAAUAAUGAAGCAAAGACCAAAUUCAAUGACCCAAGUUUAGCAAAAUAUUUUGUUCUCUUAAAGUCCAAUGAGAGAGGAGUAUCGUCAUCAUAGCGAGCAGAGAACCAAUGAAGAAGGUGCUAGCUUUCUGAGACGACAUCUUGAUAUCGGAUCCUCACUCUUGGCAAAGCUCCCUUAAGGAAACCCACUAAGAGAUAGCAGGAUAAGAUAAGGGCAUUGCCACCCUCAUCUCCAAAAGGAUCCAAGAACACCUAUAAGUUUAUUAUUACAAGUAUUGUCACCAUAGCGAGCUGAGAACCAAUGAAGAAUGGUGCUAGCUUUCUGAGAAGACAUUUUGUUAUCGGAUCCUCUCACUCUUCGCAAAGCUCCAUUGAGGAAACCCACUAAGAGAUAGUAGGAUAAAACAAGGGUAUAGCCACCCUUAUCUCCAAAGAAUCCAAAACACACCUAAUAGCUAUUUGUUGAGUCAAGAUAUGAAUAUUGUCACCAUAGCGAGCUGAGAACCAAUGAAGAAUGGUCCUAGCUUUCUGAGACGACAUUUUGAUAUCGGAUCCUCUCACUCAUGGCAAAGCUCCCUUAAGGAAACCCAGCACGAGAUAGCAGGAUAAGAUAAGGGAAUUGCCGCCCUCAUCUCCAAAGGAUCCACAACAUUUACAAUUAUUAACUGUCAAAUAAAGAUGGAAGUAUCCACACCAUAGCGAGCUAAAGAACCUAAUAAACAAGGACCAAGCUUUCUGAGAUGGCAUCUUGAUUUUGGAUCCAAUCUUUGCUCCAACUAAGGACCCCAAAACAUGAAGCCCAAAGAAGUAACAGAGAAAGAGGACAGUAGAAAGAUAGGAGAUAGAUGGCGUCCCAUAUUCCCUGAAGGAUCCAUUUUACAACUAUGCAACAUCACAAUGAACAAUGGACAGCAUCAAGCCAAUCAUAACUCAGUUACCUAUGCUUUAAUGCCCUAAUAGGCAGCAUCAAGCCAAUUAUAACAGUUAUAUAUGCUUCCACGGCCUAUGUAACUGCAGACUAGCCAGGAAAUUCAAACAUAUUUUAUACGCAACUCAAUAGAUGAAAAACAAUUCGGCAGGCAUUUGCAUAGUACAAACAAAAACAAACAAAAUAUUAUGCAGAUUAUCAGAGUUAUGUAAUGAUUAAAACAGUACUAAACGAGUAUAAAAAAGGACAAACCUCCUGAAUAAGCGUGAAGGAGGCAAUCUUGUUGGAGCUUCACAGGAGGUCAUCCCAACCUGUUACUAGUCCAACCAAGAUUAAAAUGUGCCUCCAUGCAUUUUGGAGUUCUGUAAUGGGAUCCAAUGCUUCACGCUGUUAAGUAUCUAUUAUCUAAACCCUGCAAAACAGUUGUGUUUGGCGAAUUGUAUAAAAUAGAACAAUUUGUUUCCUGGAAAGAUUCAUGGAUGCAGAAAAUACAGGGAAACUGUGCGGUGUUAUUGACUUGUCCAGUAGUCUCAAAUUCUAUUCAUUCAUGAGAAAUACCAACCUCUUUGGAAUGACUUUGCAUGUGCUGCUUCAGAUGAGCUGGCUUCCGGAAACAAGCUCCGCACUCUUCACAUGAGUGUUCAACCCCAUGAACAACCUUUUCACCAUUUGAGUUAUAGAUUUCUGAUGCGUCUAACUCAUCCUAUAGAUAAAUUUGGGAGAGAGUAUUAUCAAUAUCACACAUUUUCUCAACAGGGCGAAAAGUAUGUGGAAACAUAAAGGGAAAGUACAUCAUUCGUAAAAAAAAACAGAAUAUAAAAUGCAUAAGCAUAAAAGUGAAACGGUUAGAUUUAAUUGAUGCAACCCACAUAAAGUACCAUUAUCUAUGAUCUACAGAGCGGACAAAAUCACUGGAUUUGACUUCCUAUUUGAAGUAGGAUGAGGCAUACAUGAUUCACAUCUAUAUUUUCAUCCUUAGUGUUACACUACAAUGCAAGUCUGCAGAUCGGGGUCAUAGCUAUCGCAGUGAUUCUGGUUGAGUGGUCGUAAUGUUGCGAUAGGCGUAUUUAUGUUCUAAGUUAUAACAUCACCUAAGAUUUCGUUCUCGCCUGGUCUACGUGCAAGGUGAAGUUAUUUACAACUUGAUGAAAACUUGAUUAAUAAAAGUGGGCAAAAAUGAGAAAAGAUACACCUAUACAUCAACUAAACCAAAAAAGGGUGCACAAUGCCUUUCAGCACAAAGAAGAUAUAAUCUUAACCAUGUGCCAAAAAUAUCUGUAAAAUAGUGUACCUUGUGCUGAGCAACCAUGUGAGCUCGAAUGAGAUACAUCUUGGACCUAACAACAGUGCAAAAAUCACACUUGAUGCGUCUAAUAUCUUUGCUAUGCGUCUCUUCAGACUUUUCAUCUCCAUCGAUCCCAUUUCCAGAAGACAUCUAACAGUAGUGAACAAGAAAGUUAGAAGUGGUGUUUAUUACAAAAUAGCAAGCAACUUGAUGAAACAUUCAUAUGUACCGAAUACAAACAGAACAAAACAAGAAAAUUGAAAAUGAUUGCAAACAUGUACAUAACUCACCUACCUAUCUACUCUUCUUUUAUCAAAUAUAUCAACAACCAAUGCAAGUAUCGCAAACUUUUAAAGUGGAUAACUUAAUAUGAAUGUUAAUGACUCUACAGCAUGUGAAACCCCAAUCAGAAAAAUACAGGGCAUUGCCUUUAAGUUUUAAGCAUAAUACAGAAAAAAGGCAUCCAUAAUUACAAGACAACGCAUAACAAUAUAUGAACAGUGCAUUAAUCACAGUAUAUGGCUACAAAAUCCAAAAAUUCUGGGACAAGACACAAGACUAUCUCAGGAACUCAGAAAAUCUCUUAUAUAAGUUACUAAUGAAGAAAUGGCCAGUAUACAUAUUUAGAAUAAGAGUUCCUCAUCCACACAGAUUAAUGAGUUUUCUUCCAGUGCAGAUGAUCUAAGAUCCAUCUUUAACUGCCUAUCAAUUCCUUCCAAGGUGUCAUAAAUUUCCCUUCGAGCAUCAUGCGCCUUGUCCUGUACCAAGAAUUCAUGGACACCACCAUCGACUUCAAUCCAACUACACCCUGGUUUUUUGAAGAUAUUCCUUGUCAACAUUUGUUUCCUUAUAUCCAGAGCUUCUUUCCACCUAUCUGAUGAGGCAUAGAUAUUCCAAAGAAGCACAUAAACCCCAUCAUCCCCUGGUUCUCUCUUUAUAAUUUCCUGCCCGGCAGUCUCAGCCAAUCUAUCAUUGCCAUGAACAAGGCAUGCACUAAGAAGUGACCUCCAUAUAACAGUAUCAGGUUCCACAUCCAUAUCAUAUAUCAGGGCUUCUGCUUCCUCUAAUAGCCCACCCCGUCCUAACAAAUCAACAAUGCAUCCAUAGUGCUCAAGCUGUGGUUUAAUGUUGUAGAUCCUACGCAUUUUGUCAAAUAACUCUCUGCCUUGCUGUAUUAACCCAGCAUGGCUGCAGGCUGACAAAACUGAAACAAAGGUCACACUAUUUGGAACAACCCCAGACCUUAGCAUGUCCUCGAAGAGCUCAAGAGCUUUUAUCCCAUCACCCUGGACAGUGAAGCUCGAGAUCAUGGUUGUCCAUGUGAAUGCGUCCUUCAACGGCACUUCUUCGAACACGGCAAAAGCCAUCUCUAUACUUCCACUCUUUGCAUACAUGUCCAUCAGAGCAUUGCUAACAAUAAUAUUUGUGCUGAUAUUGAACUUACUUCCAUACCCAUGAAUGACACGCCCAAGAUCUAGAGAGCCAAUGUCAGCGCAGGCAGACAGUACACCUACAAUUGUGACAUGAGUAGGACGGUGACCCUCCAGCACCAUCCUACCAAAAAUUUCUAGAGCCCGGAUGGGCUGCUUGGCCUGAACAUGGCCAGUCACCAACGCUGUCCAGGAAACCGUGCUCUUCACCGGCAUCCGGUCAAAGAAGGACAGCGCCGCAUCCACACCAACACACUUCAUAUACCCAUGCAGCAUGCUGCCCCAGGUGACCUCGUCUUUCACCGCCAUUUCGUCGAACACCCCUAGCGCACCCUCGAACCUCCCGCACCGGCAAUACAUAUCGACCAGAGCGUUGCCGACGACCAGCUCAGAGCCCAACCCGCAACGGAAAAUGAGCCCAUGCACCCCUGAACCAGCGCGCAGAUCGCCAGCCCCGCCGGACGCCGAGAGGGCGCCGACGACCGCAAAGCCAUCGGGGCGGUGGCCGGAGGCGACGGCGCGCGAGAACGCGGACAUGGCCUCGCGGUGCUGGCUCAGCUGGAGGUGGAGCGACAUGAGGCUGGUGAAGGAGACGAGGUCCGGGCAGGGGAUCUCGCCGAACAGCCGGCGCGCCUCGGCGGGUCGGCCGAAAUCGGCGUAGCACCGGAAGAUUUUGCACGAGAUGGACUGGUUACUGGGAUGGAGGCCAUUGACAAGGGCCCGGGCGUGGAUUCUCUCGAGCUCUCGCAGGGAUCUGCACUGGGCGAGCAGGUGAUGGCAGACGCUCCUGUUCAUCCACCGCGGCCACCUGGAAUUAGAGCCGACAUUACUGGCUAAACUGGUAAGCGGUCCACUCUACUGGCGACCGUCAGCGACAAAUCGCCGCAGCUCGCCGCGGAUCUGGACAAACGCCAGGAGAAAUCUAGGCGCGCGGCGAAGGCCUAGCUCGCGCUCCGGACAUUUUUCAGCUCGUGGAAUGAAAUGCAGCGGUGCUGACGAUUGUUCGGGCUAAAUCAUGGCGAGGAGAGGGAGAGGUUCGCUGGGGAUUCGAGAGGGAGGGCGGGGACGGGUGCUCACCGUGGACUCGGAGGGUGCGGCCGUGGGGGACGGAGCUGGGGAUGACGCUGGCUCGUGGGCAGCGGGGAGGCGGCGGCGGAGGGAGGGAGGGAGGGAGGGAGUGGUUUCCUUGGCUGUUAUGGAGGCUGGCUGGUGGCCUCUUUAAAACCCUAGCGCGCCGGUGUCUUCCUGGGCCUAGUGGGCUUCGCAGCGGAUGGGCUGACGACGUCUGGAAAGGAGAGCUCCCUCCUCCCACGCGGCGGGGAAGCUGCACAUAUAUUCCCGCCGUUGUCAUCCUGGUUUUCAGAAAGAAAGAAAAAAAAACUGAACGAAAUCACCAGCUAAGUAAGGUUUAGGGGUAUGAGGGAUGGUACAAUUUCAACAUUUCGCUCCUCAAACCACUCGAAAUGAACGAAAAUCUAGCCGAUCCGUCAAGUUCGUGAGCACCUUUGUGUUGAUUCUUUGCUACAAUGCUCGUACCUAGAAAUUGUAAAAUCACAAGCUAAAUGAAAACAACAAUCAAAACUGCCGUCGCUGCCCUGAAGGUCGUCCUCCUUCCGUCAUGGUAUCGAUCACCUCCAUGUUAUCCGAGUUAUAAUAAUGCGAUUGCAUCCUAUCCUUCUUUGCGCUAGGGACAAGACAAAUUUUAGGGCCAGAGCUUCGGCCACACUAGCUAGUAGAAAAAGAACCUAAUGUUCAGCCGGUUCGAACGGCUAUGCAUUAGUCCCGGUUCGCGUUGAACCUUUAGUACCGGUUCAUGGCACAAACCGAUAAUAAAGGAGUGGUGGCAGGCUGACGUCAAGCCGGGGCCCCACGAGCCCCUUUAGUCCCGGUUUGUGACACGAACCGGGACUAAAGGUGUAACCUAUAGUGCCGGUUUGUGUCACAAACCGGGACAAAAUGGGUCUAACCUUUAGUUCCGGUUGAAGACAUAAACCGGGACUAAAGGGCAAUUUUCAAACUCUACCCCCCCUUAUCGCCAUUUCAGUUUUGUAAAAAACAAAAAAAAUGAUAGAAACUUCAAAAUUAAAAUCCUUCGAGAUGUAGUUAUGUUACUACAUCUACUAGUUAGGAAAAUUAAAAACCUUAAAUUUGAACAUGUUUUGCAAAAAAGUGUUAUCAAAAAGUAAAACGGCCAUAUCUACGGCCUGUUUGCAAAUUUUUAGAAUCCUCAAAUUCUAAAAGGAAAAAAAGAUAUGCUCAAAUUUCAUUUUUUUUUAUUUUUGUUAAAUCUGGUCAAAUUGUGUUCAAACUAUCGUCAAACUAAUUAUUCAAGAAAUAUUAGUGUUAAUAAAUAAUUAUUUUAGUUUUUUUGACUUUUGGUCAAACUACUUAUUUAAGAAAUAUUUCUGUUACUAAAUAAUAAUUAUUUUUUAGAAUAAUAGUUUUAAACUCAAACGGUGAAACAUGUGACUUCAUGCUCAAGCUAAAUUUCCGAGGGUUAAUAAGAUUGACAGCUUACUAUUGUCAGGUAAACAACAAGUGCAGACUUGGAAACUAGGGGGGAAUAGAACUCGGAAGUUAAGCGUGCUUAGGUUGGAGUAGUGAGAGGAUGGGUGAUCGAUCGGGAAGUUAGACGAUUUGGAAUGAUGAUGGGUGAUUAGAGCAAUGAUGAGCGGUGAUUAGAGACUAAAUCGUCAAGUAAUUCAGAAAUUUGAAAAAACAAUCAUUUUUUUCAAAAAAAAAUAAUUUUUUUAAAUAAAUAAUUCCUUUACUACUGGUUGGUGUUACCGAACGGUACUAAAGGUCCCCUAGACCACCGCGCGGGCUUGUGCCACAUGGUGGACCUUUGGCCCCGGUUCGUGCUGAACCGGGACUAAAGGGGGGGUACCUUUAGUCCCCACCCUUUAGUGCCGAUUAUAGAACCGGGACUAAAGGUCCUUACGAACCGGUACAACAGGGCGUUAUUCUACUAGUGUCAGAACAUCCGCACACCAGUCAAUCUUACCAUUACCUGCUGCAAUAAAUCUACCUUUGUCGUCUCUUAAGACUACUCCCAUCGUACUCCUAAGUAAGUCAUGGUCAAAAGAAGCAUCAAUGCUAAGUUUAACAAACCCCUACCAGAGGACAAGACAACCCCCCUGUUUUCAUGGAGACCUUUUGAGGGGAAGCAGUAACAAAAUUGGUUGCAAGAGCCCAGAUUCCCAUUGAAAUCUGGUGUGCAUUUUGAGUUGUCUCCUUCUGAACCAAUGUACGCUUUUCCCACCAAAUGUACCAGGGUGAUAUGGCAAUCAUUUCACGUAUAUUCUGGAUGCCCAUCAUACACAACUCAUGAUCUAGCAUUUGAAAGUAAAUAGUCCAAAGCCACUUCACUCACACGAUCUACUUGAAAAGCUCUACCGAUAAUAUCAUCCAUCCCUAGCAUUCUCCACACUUGUUUGCUCUGUUGCAUAAAAAUAACAGAUGCUUUGAUCUUCUAGUCCAUCCGAGCAGACAUGGCAAUUGGGUGAGACUUUCACAUGUCUAUUGGCUAGCGCAACACGGCACAGAAGGGUGCGAUGUAGCGUACACCAAAUAAACUUUUUAACCUUUGUCGAGCAAGAAAGUUUCCAUAAUCUACGCCAAAUAUGAUUAACUGUGGUACGUCCCAUUCCAUUUUUGUGUCGCAACUUAUUUCCAUAUUGAUGAUCCCAUUUCACAAAAUAAGCAGACCGAAACCGAAAACAUAGCAUUUUGUUUGAAAUUCCAAGCGACGGAAUCUGGCAUAUCAUGUUUCGAGAUAGGUAUCGCGAGUACUCGUGGAACAUCUAUAGGCCACAACAUUUGCCUAAGUAGAUCUUCAUCCCAAGUAUUAAGAAUAGGGCCAAUCAAGUUUGCUCCCUUAUAACAACUGACCUCUCCUGGGAGUAACAAUUUUUAUGUUUGCAUAAUUUGGAAUUCAGACAUCCUCCCAAAUGUUAAUAUUCUGAGCAUUCCUCACUCGCCAAAUGUGACCAUGUUUCAGAGAACUCACACCCGCCAUAAUACUUUGCCAUGUGAAAGACGACCCCUUCUUUAGAUUAGUGUUAAACAAAUCACCGUGAGGGUGGUAUUUGACUCUCAGAAUAGUAGCAUAUAAAGAGUCUGAAUUCUCUAUAAGGCAUCAAGCCUGCUUAGGGAGCAUUCACACAUUUUUUUCUGAAAACAUCUCACACUUUUUUUCUUUCGAAGCACACUAUGCUUCCUUUCGGAGAAACACAACUGUGUUUCGGAAGCAAACCUGUGCUUGCACGAGAAGCAANNNNNNNNNNNNNNNNNNNNNNNNNNNNNNNNNNNNNNNNNNNNNNNNNNNNNNNNNNNNNNNNNNNNNNNNNNNNNNNNNNNNNNNNNNNNNNNNNNNNNNNNNNNNNNNNNNNNNNNNNNNNNNNNNNNNNNNNNNNNNNNNNNNNNNNNNNNNNNNNNNNNNNNNNNNNNNNNNNNNNNNNNNNNNNNNNNNNNNNNNNNNNNNNNNNNNNNNNNNNNNNNNNNNNNNNNNNNNNNNNNNNNNNNNNNNNNNNNNNNNNNNNNNNNNNNNNNNNNNNNNNNNNNNNGAAAACUGGACGAAAACCAAAAUCCUAGAAACCAAAAAAAAAAU